Molecule: ribosomal RNA, 301 nt
Filed under: uncultured bacterium
Lineage: Bacteria
Description: partial 16S ribosomal RNA
Rfam family: Bacterial small subunit ribosomal RNA
Source: RNAcentral
CAGCCGCCGCGGUAAUACGGAGGGCGCGAGCGUUACCCGGAUUUACUGGGCGUAAAGGGCGUGUAGGCGGCCUGGGGCGUCCUAUGUGAAAGGCCACGGCUCAACCGUGGAGGAGCGUGGGAUACGCUCAGGCUAGAGGGUGGGAGAGGGUGGUGGAAUUCCCGGAAUAUCGGUGAAAUGCGCAGAUACCGGGAGGAACGCCGAUGGCGAAGGCAGCCACCUGGUCCACUUCUGACGCUGAGGCGCGAAAGCGUGGGGAGCAAACCGGAUUAGAUACCCGCGUAGUCCCUGUCUCUUAUAC